GAGAGGGAUAUCCGGGAAACUGGGGCUAAUACUCAUAGACUAUGAAUGCUGGAAUGCUUCGUAGUUCAAAGGUCCGCCGCCAUAGGAUGGGUCUGCGGCCGAUUAGGUAGUUGUUGGGGUAACGGCCCAACAAGCCUGUAAUCGGUACGGGUUGUGGGAGCAAGAGCCCGGAGAUGGAUUCUGAGACACGAAUCCAGGCCCUACGGGGCGCAGCAGGCGCGAAAACUUUACAAUGCGGGAAACCGUGAUAAGGGAACUCCGAGUGCCCGUUAAAUCGGGCUGUCCAUCAGUUUAAAAAACUGGUGAAGAGAGGGCCGGGCAAGACCGGUGCCAGCCGCCGCGGUAAUACCGGCGGCUCGAGUGGUGGCCACUAUUACUGGGCUUAAAGCGUUCGUAGCUGGUUUGUUAAGUCUCUGGGGAAAUCUUCCGGCUUAACCGGAAGGCGUCUCAGGGAUACUGGCAGACUAGGGACCGGAAGAGGUGAGGGGUACUCCAGGGGUAGGAGUGAAAUCCUGUAAUCCUUGGGGGACCACCUGUGGCGAAGGCGCCUCACCAGGACGGCUCCGACAGUGAGGGACGAAAGCUGGGGGAGCAAACCGGAUUAGAUACCCGGGUAGUCCCAGCCGUAAACGAUGUGCGUUAGGUGUAUCGGUGGCCACGAGUCACCGAGGUGCCGAAGAGAAAUCGUGAAACGUACCGCCUGGGAAGUACGGUCGCAAGGCUGAAACUUAAAGGAAUUGGCGGGGGAGCACCACAACAGGUGGAGCCUGCGGUUUAAUCGGACUCAACGCCGGAAAACUCACCAGAUAAGACAGCUGAAUGAUAGUCGGGCUGAAGACUCUACUUGACUAGCUGAGAGGAGGUGCAUGGCCGUCGUCAGUUCGUACUGUGAAGCAUCCUGUUAAGUCAGGCAACGAGCGAGACCCACGCCAACAGUUGCUAGCUCGUCCCCCGGGAUGGAGAGGACACUGUUGGGACCGCCUCUGCUAAAGAGGAGGAAGGAAUGGGCAACGGUAGGUCAGCAUGCCCCGAAUUAUCUGGGCCACACGCGGGCUACAAUGGGUGGGACAAUGGGUAUCGACACCGAAAGGUGAAGGCAAUCUCCUAAACCCAUCCUUAGUUCGGAUUGUGGGCUGCAACUCGCCCACAUGAAGGCUGGAAUUCUGUUAGUAAUCGUGU
RNAcentral lists this ribosomal RNA (1179 nucleotides) under uncultured euryarchaeote. Its description in RNAcentral is "bacterial SSU rRNA". It matches the Rfam family "Archaeal small subunit ribosomal RNA", at positions 119 to 1303 of the family's 1478-position model. The record is from RNAcentral. Lineage: Archaea; Methanobacteriati; Methanobacteriota.